AAGUCGUAACAAGGUUUCCGUAGGUGAACCUGCGGAAGGAUCAUUAACGAGUUUUUAAUUGUUAGAUUAGAGUUGAGCUGGUUAACUUUGUUAACAUCAGUGCUCGCUUUAGUUGAUACAAGUCCACUCAUCAUUUAACACUUGUGAACUUAUUCAUUAUAAACAUUAUCAUUUGUUAUUGGAACGUUUGAAUUAUAACAAGUUAAUACAACUUUCAACAACGGAUCUCUUGGUUCUC
RNAcentral lists this unclassified non-coding RNA (238 nucleotides) under air metagenome. RNAcentral's name for it is "partial contains small subunit ribosomal RNA, internal transcribed spacer 1, and 5.8S ribosomal RNA". The stretch from base 1 to 46 matches the Rfam family "Eukaryotic small subunit ribosomal RNA", at positions 1786 to 1831 of the family's 1831-position model. The record is from RNAcentral.